This is a non-coding RNA of Oryza glumipatula, 208 nucleotides long. NCBI's taxonomy places the organism in Eukaryota, Viridiplantae, Streptophyta, Magnoliopsida, Poales, Poaceae. The record is from Rfam.
CCUCCGUCCACAAACCCUGAUUUUUCGUGUCAAAUUUUGACUGUCCGUCUUAUAUUAAAUUUUUUUAUAAUUCGUAUUUUUAUUAUUGUUAGAUGAUAAAACAUGAUUAAUAUUUUAUAUGUGACUUGUCUUUUUUACUUUUUUCAUAAUUUUUUUAAAUAAGACGGACGGUCAAAUGUUGGACACGAAAAUCAGGGUUUGUCUUUUU